UUGUUGUUGGCAACUGAAAUUAGAGGCACUGGUUGUACUUAAGCUCAUAAUUUGAAGACCAAGAAGCAACAUAUUGUGUGCUUAGGAUCCUCUAUAAAAAAUUGAGUAUCAUUCCAUGGCUACUAUCAUGCGGGAGCUUAAGUGGGUGAAGGAUAUUAUUUCAAGAUUUGGUAUCAUUCAUUCCAUGCCCAUGUAAUUUUAUUGUGAUAGUUAGGUUACUUUUCAUAUUUCGAAGAAUCCUAGAUUUAAAGAACUUGAAGAACCCUAAAUUCAAUGAACAUACUAAGCACAAUGAAGUAGAUUACCCACUUGUUUGAAAUGAAAUCAAUCAAGG
Molecule: long non-coding RNA, 334 nt
Filed under: Glycine max (soybean)
Lineage: Eukaryota; Viridiplantae; Streptophyta; Magnoliopsida; Fabales; Fabaceae
Description: long non-coding RNA (GMAX_LNC001739)
Source: RNAcentral